UACAGAGGUCUCAAGCGUUGUUCGGAUUCAUUGGGCGUAAAGGGUGCGUAGGUGGCAUGGUAAGUCGGAUGUGAAAUCCCGGGGCUCAACCCCGGAACUGCAUUCGAUACUGCUGCGCUAGAGUACUGGAGAGGAGAUUGGAAUUUACGGUGUAGCAGUGAAAUGCGUAGAUAUCGUAAGGAAGACCAGUGGCGAAGGCGGAUCUCUGGACAGUUACUGACGCUGAGACGCGAAAGCGUGGGGAGCGAACAGG
RNAcentral lists this ribosomal RNA (253 nucleotides) under uncultured bacterium. Its description in RNAcentral is "partial 16S ribosomal RNA". It matches the Rfam family "Bacterial small subunit ribosomal RNA", at positions 524 to 776 of the family's 1533-position model. The record is from RNAcentral.